AAGCCAUAAAUCAAUUGUUGGGUAUUGCUCAUUUUUGUGGUUUAUUCUUCAAAAUAUAGCCAAAGACAGUAGCAAUUUAGAGGAUUUUGUUUCUUGGCGAAUAGGUAUUUCCUUUUUUACACAUACAUUAACUUGCCGAGUGACAGUAUGUGAAAAUCAUUUCUGCUCUUUGAAUACUUGCAGGAUAUUCUAUCACUCUAACUGAUGGAAGUUCUUCAAGGAAGCUUUUCUCACAACUUACCUUUUUCUUCUAGCAAAGGGACCAUUUGGUCAUAACAAAGACAUUCCUGGGGAAGGAGUGAGAAGCAGAGCACAAUCGUCAAGUCUCUUUCUUUCAACCUGCUGAUAAACCACACUGCUGUUCCAACUCCUGCAAAUCCAGCUUUGCCAAGAACUUUGUGUGCUUUCCACAGCAGGUGGUCUUUCUUAAGUCAUUUUCCAGAGGAGAAGCCAGCUGCCCUCUCUUGACAUAGCCAUGUGAAGAUGCUCAAGUACUGAAGAUCCUAAGCCUGCCAAC
Molecule: long non-coding RNA, 517 nt
Filed under: Homo sapiens (human)
Lineage: Eukaryota; Metazoa; Chordata; Mammalia; Primates; Hominidae
Description: HSALNT0310962
Source: RNAcentral